UAGGGAAUCUUCGGCAAUGGACGAUAGUCUGACCGAGCAACGCCGCGUGAGUGAAGAAGGUUUUCGGAUCGUAAAACUCUGUUGUUAGAGAAGAACAAGGACGUUAGUAACUGAACGUCCCCUGACGGUAUCUAACCAGACAGCCACGGCUAACUACGUGCCAGCAGCCGCGGUAAUACGUAGGUGGCAAGCGUUGUCCGGAUUUAUUGGGCGUAAAGCGAGCGCAGGCGGUUUCUUAAGUCUGAUGUGAAAGCCCCCGGCUCAACCGGGGAGGGUCAUUGGAAGCUGGGGGACAUGAGUGCAGAAGAGGAGAGUGGAAUUCCAUGUGUAGCGGUGAAAUGCGUAGAUAUAUGGAGGAACACCAGUGGCGAAGGCGGCUCUCAGGUCUGUAACUGACGAUGAGGCUCGAAAGCGUGGGGAGCAAACAGG
RNAcentral lists this ribosomal RNA (429 nucleotides) under Gemmatimonadota bacterium. Its description in RNAcentral is "Gemmatimonadetes bacterium partial 16S ribosomal RNA". It matches the Rfam family "Bacterial small subunit ribosomal RNA", at positions 355 to 776 of the family's 1533-position model. The record is from RNAcentral. Lineage: Bacteria; Pseudomonadati; Gemmatimonadota.